AAUCAACGCUGGCGGCGUGCCUCAGACAUGCAAGUCGAACGAUUAAAGCUCUCUUCGGAGAGUGCAUAGAGUGGCGCACGGGUGAGUAACACGUAAGUAAUCUACCUUCGAGUGGGGAAUAACAACCGGAACGGUUGCUAAUACCGCAUAAUGCAGCGGCAUCGCAAGAUGACAGUUGUUAAAGGAGCAAUUCGCUUGAAGAGGAGCUUGCGGCAGAUUAGCUAGUUGGUAAGGUAAUGGCUUACCAAGGCUACGAUCUGUAACCGGUCUUAGAGGACGGUCGGUCACACUGACACUGGAACAACGGGUCAGACUCCUACGGGAGGCAGCAGUCGGGAAUUUUGGGCAAUGGGCGAAAGCCUGACCCAGCAACGCCGCGUGAAGGAUGAAGUAUUUCGGUAUGUAAACUUCGAAAGAAUGGGAAGAAUAAAUGACGGGUACCAUUUAUAAGGUCCGGCUAACU
Molecule: ribosomal RNA, 463 nt
Filed under: uncultured bacterium
Lineage: Bacteria
Description: bacterial SSU rRNA
Rfam family: Bacterial small subunit ribosomal RNA
Source: RNAcentral